Molecule: ribosomal RNA, 237 nt
Filed under: uncultured Staphylococcus sp.
Lineage: Bacteria; Bacillati; Bacillota; Bacilli; Caryophanales; Staphylococcaceae
Description: partial 16S ribosomal RNA
Rfam family: Bacterial small subunit ribosomal RNA
Source: RNAcentral
CGGGCGAGUAACACGUGGAUAACCUACCUAUAAGACUGGGAUAACUUCGGGAAACCGGAGCUAAUACCGGAUAAUAUUUUGAACCGCAUGGUUCAAAAGUGAAAGACGGUCUUGCUGUCACUUAUAGAUGGAUCCGCGCUGCAUUAGCUAGUUGGUAGGGUAACGGCUUACCAAGGCAACGAUGCAUAGCCGACCUGAGAGGGUGAUCGGCCACACUGGAACUGAGACACGGUCCAG